Molecule: small RNA, 118 nt
Filed under: Marmota monax (woodchuck)
Lineage: Eukaryota; Metazoa; Chordata; Mammalia; Rodentia; Sciuridae
Source: RNAcentral
GCUGGGCGUGGUGGAGCCCGCCUGCAAUCCCAGCGGCUCAGGAGGCUGAGGCAGGGAGAUGGCUUGAGCCCAGGAGUUCAAAGGCCAGCCUGUGCAACACAGUGAGACCCUGCUUCUU